GCGAACAGGAUUAGAUACCCUGGUAGUCCACGCUGUAAACGAUGUCGAUUUGGAGGUUGUGCCCUUGGGGCGUGGCUUCCGGAGCUAACGCGUUAAAUCGACCGCCUGGGGAGUACGGCCGCAAGGUUAAAACUCAAAUGAAUUGACGGGGGCCCGCACAAGCGGUGGAGCAUGUGGUUUAAUUCGAUGCAACGCGAAGAACCUUACCUACUCUUGACAUCCAGAGAACUUUCCAGAGAUGGAUUGGUGCCUUCGGGAACUCUGAGACAGGUGCUGCAUGGCUGUCGUCAGCUCGUGUUGUGAAAUGUUGGGUUAAGUCCCGCAACGAGCGCAACCCUUAUCCUUUGUUGCCAGCGGUUCGGCCGGGAACUCAAAGGAGACUGCCAGUGAUAAACUGGAGGAAGGUGGGGAUGACGUCAAGUCAUCAUGGCCCUUACGAGUAGGGCUACACACGUGCUACAAUGGCAUAUACAAAGAGAAGCGACCUCGCGAGAGCAAGCGGACCUCAUAAAGUAUGUCGUAGUCCGGAUUGGAGUCUGCAACUCGACUCCAUGAAGUCGGAAUCGCUAGUAAUCGUAGAUCAGAAUGCUACGGUGAAUACGUUCCCGGGCCUUGUACACACCGCCCGUCACACCAUGGGAGUGGGUUGCAAAAGAAGUAGGUAGCUUAACCUUCGGGAGGGCGCUUACCACUUUGUGA
RNAcentral lists this ribosomal RNA (699 nucleotides) under uncultured Serratia sp. Its description in RNAcentral is "bacterial SSU rRNA". It matches the Rfam family "Bacterial small subunit ribosomal RNA", at positions 768 to 1467 of the family's 1533-position model. Lineage: Bacteria; Pseudomonadati; Pseudomonadota; Gammaproteobacteria; Enterobacterales; Yersiniaceae. The record is from RNAcentral.